UACGUAGGGAGCAAGCGUUAUCCGGAUUUACUGGGUGUAAAGGGCGCGCAGGCGGGCCGGUAAGUUGGGAGUGAAAUCUAUGGGCUUAACCCAUAAACUGCUUUCAAAACUGCUGGUCUUGAGUGAUGGAGAGGCAGGCGGAAUUCCGUGUGUAGCGGUGAAAUGCGUAGAUAUACGGAGGAACACCAGUGGCGAAGGCGGCCUGCUGGACAUUAACUGACGCUGAGGCGCGAAAGCGUGGGGAGCAAACAGG
RNAcentral lists this ribosomal RNA (253 nucleotides) under Agathobaculum desmolans. RNAcentral describes it as "partial 16S ribosomal RNA". It matches the Rfam family "Bacterial small subunit ribosomal RNA", at positions 524 to 776 of the family's 1533-position model. Lineage: Bacteria; Bacillati; Bacillota; Clostridia; Eubacteriales; Butyricicoccaceae. The record is from RNAcentral.